GAAGCUUCGAGCUUCUCCUACCUGCGUUAAGUUUUACUUAGGUUAAGCUCCCUCUUAAGGGAGGGUAGGAGUAAUUGUUAUAGUUUGUAUUUGAUAACUGGUUUACAGCCAACUGUGUUUAUCAUUUUAUAGUUUAGUGCGUGGGUUCGAUUUUGAUGGUUGUUUUUCCUUCUGCCUUACAUUGUGUAACUGUUCAUUUGGGAGCUGUUGAAACCUGCGGUUUGUUUUGCGAGCUGGGGACCAGCUCAAAAUUUUGCCGGACUCAAAAUUUUCUUCGGGAAGGGGAGCACUGUAACAACAAAAUGUAAUUUUUCUUCUUCAUUAUUAAAAAAAGUAAGGCUCGCGUUAGUUCCGAACUCCUACAGCCAUCUAGCUAAGGAUUAGCGUACUAGCUAACGCGCGAUCGAACACUAUGGGUCAGAAUUGCCAGCUUCAAAUUCGGAAGAAACAUUGCGUUUCCCCGCUUUCCUGUGUUUUAUUCGUAGAACAUAUUUAAUCAUAGUGUGUUUUUCUUUAACAUUAUGUAAUUCCUGCGCAGAUGGUUAGUUUUUUUUUAAGUAAAACAGAAGGAACCAUAAACGAUCGUUUUGUCUGUGGAGUCAUGUAGUGUUUGCACGAGCCUAAUUCGGACUUGGCAACCCCGUCGGCCUAUCUGUCACUCAAGAUGUCGGAAAGGAAGGGAGAUCUUCUUUUUGUUCGAUUCGAGCCGGGAUCGGCUAUACCCUUUGAGAUCGGGCUCCAUCGCCCAUUUGACCCCGGCAUAACAUGCUAACCUUAAAUUUGUUGCUGCGUUGAAGAGCGAUACAUCGCGUGCCCCGGGUGUUGACAUAAGCUGCAUAAUUUCCAUGCAAGCCUUUUAUCCACAAACGGGUAAGUUUUGCAUUUUUUUUAACCUUUAGGUAAGGUUUCGUGUAAAUCGAAAUUCGUGUCGGGCAUUAUUGAAUCGUGUUAGUGUUCCAAACUUGAAAUCAAGGCGAUCUCCGCCCUACAGUAUUAAUUGGGAUUCAAUCCCAGCCGUAAUCAGGUGACUUGCCCUAACGAGUAUACAAUAAUUUCAGGGUUCACGGCGGGGCGCUAACUACCUGGCUAACUCGCGCGGUCUCCGACCACCUGCCUCAUGCACCGGUAACCCCAGAUAAUACCAGCGGUAGUGAGCUGUCGCUGACCGUUUUGUAACCAUCCGUCCAGGCCUACACAGAACGUGGCGGCUGGGGUACAAUUCCCGACGUUGGAGGUUAGACCCAUCCUUUAUUAACUAUUUGACAUUUGGACCAGAUCGACUGGCCCUGGCGCCCAUAUACAUCUCCUGUAUUUUCUAAAUUUAGUUCCUCGGAUCGCUGUUUCUACCAAAAUCUAAAUAAAAGAGUUCGUUAACCCCGAUUUGUUCCCUGAAGCUAAAGUUUAAAAAAGAAUUAAUAAGUACUGUAGAGUCUGUGCAAUCUAUGCUAGCCGGUUAUUAUUAAGAAACUUGUCUUACUAUUAAGAAACCUUUAGAUAGAUAUAUAUAUAAAUAUAGGAUUACCUCAACUGUGACUUCUUGCAGUAUUGAUGACGGGUUCUUCCAACCUCAGUGAUUUCAAUAAAAGCUUAGUUACUGAC
Molecule: long non-coding RNA, 1599 nt
Organism: Cydia pomonella (codling moth)
Lineage: Eukaryota; Metazoa; Arthropoda; Insecta; Lepidoptera; Tortricidae
Exons: 2
Source: RefSeq, a predicted model, not a curated record